Molecule: ribosomal RNA, 875 nt
Filed under: Kweilingia bambusae
Lineage: Eukaryota; Fungi; Basidiomycota; Pucciniomycetes; Pucciniales; Crossopsoraceae
Description: partial large subunit ribosomal RNA
Rfam family: Eukaryotic large subunit ribosomal RNA
Source: RNAcentral
UUCCCCUAGUAACGGCGAGUGAAGAGGGAAAAGCCCAAAUUUGUAAUCUGGCUCUUUCAGAGUCCGAGUUGUAAUUUUAAGAACUGUUUUCUGUGCUAGGCCACAUAUAAGUCUGUUGAAAAACAGCAUCAUGGAGGGUGAUAAUCCCGUAUAUGAUGUGGAUUUGCUAGUGCUUUAUGAUACAGUUUCUAAGAGUCGAGUUGUUUGGGAAUGCAGCUCAAAGUGGGUGGUAAAUUCCAUCUAAGGCUAAAUAUAGGUGAGAGACCGAUAGCAAACAAGUACCGUGAGGGAAAGAUGAAAAGAACUUUGGAAAGAGAGUUAACAGUACGUGAAAUUGUUAAAAGGGAAACAAUUGAAGUUAGCCUUGUUGUUAUUAGUUCAGCUCCUUCUGGGGUGUAUUCUAAUGGCCAACAGACCAACAUCAAUUCUAUAGUGUUGGAUAAGGGUUUGGGAAAUGUAGCAGUCUUUGACUGUGUUAUAGUCCUGGACUUUGAUACAGUGCUUGGGAUUGAGGAAUGCAGUAAGCUACUCUUGUGGCGGGACAAUUUGAUUGUUCUUCUUACUGAGGAUGUUGGGUAUAGCUUCAACUGACCCGUCUUGAAACACGGACCAAGGAGUCUAACAUGCCUGCGAGUAUUUGGGUGUUCAAACCCUGAUGCGUAAUGAAAGUGAAUGUAAAUGGGAUCUGUCAAAGGUGCACCAUUGACCAGUCCUGAUUAUUUAUAUGAAGGUACUGAGUAAGAGCAAGUAUGUUGGGACCCGAAAGAUGGUGAACUAUGCCUGAAUAGGGUGAAGCCAGAGGAAACUCUGGUGGAAGCUCGUAGCGGUUCUGACGUGCAAAUCGAUCGUCAAAUUUGGGUAUAGGGGCGAAAGAC